AAAGGAUGGCAGCGGUAUCCUUUUAUGGAGCCCAAGCGAAAAGAUAUAGCGAACAGCCUGACCUUUU
This 67-nucleotide small RNA is filed under the name Flavobacterium tiangeerense. RNAcentral describes it as "Flavo-1 RNA". The record is from RNAcentral. Lineage: Bacteria; Pseudomonadati; Bacteroidota; Flavobacteriia; Flavobacteriales; Flavobacteriaceae.